This 720-nucleotide ribosomal RNA is filed under the name Bacteroidetes bacterium GM51. Its description in RNAcentral is "bacterial SSU rRNA". It matches the Rfam family "Bacterial small subunit ribosomal RNA", at positions 68 to 781 of the family's 1533-position model. The record is from RNAcentral. Lineage: Bacteria; Pseudomonadati; Bacteroidota.
GGCAGCGGGGAUAAGCUUGCUUAUCCGCCGGCGACCGGCGCACGGGUGCGCAACGCGUAUAGAAUCUGCCCUGUACUGGGGAAUAGCCCAGAGAAAUUUGGAUUAAUGCCCCAUGGUAUGUAUUAGCGGCAUCGCUUAUACAUUAAAGGCUACGGUACAGGAUGACUAUGCGUCCCAUUAGUUAGUUGGUAAGGUAACGGCUUACCAAGGCAGCGAUGGGUAGGGGCCCUGAGAGGGGGAUCCCCCACACUGGUACUGAGACACGGACCAGACUCCUACGGGAGGCAGCAGUGAGGAAUAUUGGACAAUGGGCGGGAGCCUGAUCCAGCCAUGCCGCGUGCAGGAAGACGGUCCUAUGGAUUGUAAACUGCUUUUGUACGGGAAGAACAAGGGGCACGUGUGCCCCUCUGACGGUACCGUAAGAAUAAGGAUCGGCUAACUCCGUGCCAGCAGCCGCGGUAAUACGGAGGAUCCGAGCGUUAUCCGGAAUCAUUGGGUUUAAAGGGUCCGUAGGCGGGCCAUUAAGUCAGGGGUGAAAGUCUGCGGCUCAACCGUAGAAUUGCCCUUGAUACUGGUGGUCUUGAGUUAUGGUGAAGUAACUAGAAUAUGUAGUGUAGCGGUGAAAUGCAUAGAUAUUACAUAGAAUACCGAUUGCGAAGGCAGGUUACUAACCAUAUACUGACGCUGAUGGACGAAAGCGUGGGGAGCGAACAGGAUUAG